RNAcentral lists this ribosomal RNA (472 nucleotides) under uncultured bacterium. Its description in RNAcentral is "partial 16S ribosomal RNA". It matches the Rfam family "Bacterial small subunit ribosomal RNA", at positions 30 to 507 of the family's 1533-position model. The record is from RNAcentral.
AGUGAACGCUGGCGGUAGGCCUAACACAUGCAAGUCGAACGGCAGCACAGUAAGAGCUUGCUCUUACGGGUGGCGAGUGGCGGACGGGUGAGGAAUACAUCGGAAUCUACUUUUUCGUGGGGGAUAACGUAGGGAAACUUACGCUAAUACCGCAUACGACCUACGGGUGAAAGCAGGGGAUCUUCGGACCUUGCGCGAUUGAAUGAGCCGAUGUCGGAUUAGCUAGUUGGCGGGGUAAAGGCCCACCAAGGCGACGAUCCGUAGCUGGUCUGAGAGGGUGACCGGCGACAGUGGGAAUGAGAUACGGCGCAGACUGCGAUGGGAGGGAGCAGUCGGGAAUAUUGCACAAUGGGCGGGAGACUGAUGCAGAAACGCCGCGUGUGGGAUGACGGCCUUAGGGUUGUAAACCGCUGUCGACUGUGACGAAGCGUGAGUGACGGUAACGGGUAAAGAAGAACCGGCUCACUACGUG